This 330-nucleotide unclassified non-coding RNA is filed under the name soil metagenome. Its description in RNAcentral is "partial contains 5.8S ribosomal RNA, internal transcribed spacer 2, and large subunit ribosomal RNA". The stretch from base 1 to 120 matches the Rfam family "5.8S ribosomal RNA", at positions 35 to 154 of the family's 154-position model. The record is from RNAcentral.
GAUGAAGAACGUAGUGAAAUGCGAUAAGUAAUGUGAAUUGCAGAAUUCAGUGAAUCAUCUAAUCUUUGAACGCACAUUGCGCCCUCUGGUAUUCCGGAGGGCAUGCCUGUUCGAGCGUCAUUUCACCACUCAAGCCUGGCUUGGUAUUGGGCGUCGCGGUCCGCCGCGCGCCUUAAAGUCUUCCGGCUGAGCUGUCCGUCUCCAAGCGUUGUGGAAUCAACUAAUUCGCUUCGGGGUACGGGUGGACGCGGCCGUUAAAUCUUUUCUAAAGGUUGACCUCGGAUCAGGUAGGGAUACCCGCUGAACUUAAGCAUAUCAAUAAGCGGAGGA